AUCCUACACACACUAGCUUUUUAUUUUCCUAUAUAUACAGUUUAUUUGCCUCAAAGUAAACACAAGGAUUUCAGAACAUUUCUCCAAUAAUGUCUUCCAAAAAAAAUUGUGUACCUUGAUGAGAUUAUGUCAUUGAAAACAACUUGGUUGAUUGAAGGCAAAGUCAUCGACACCUGCAAACAAAAAAAUGUCGAUCUUGGUGAGACUUCAGAGAUAAUAUUUGCAGACAAAAGGUAAUACUGAGCAUUUUUAAGUUUGCAGUUUAAGUUUGACCAUAACUAUUGGUACUGGUGUAGAUCAUUUUUAAGUUUGCAGUUUAUAUUUGACCAUAACUAUUGGGAAUGGAUAUGAGUUUAAAAACUGAAUUCACCUUAUGAAAUAUCAGACAUCGUUGGAUAAGCCAUAGAUGUUGGAGAGCUUCAGAUUCUACAAUCGAAUGGAAAUGAGUUUAAAAAUCGAGUUCAUCUUAAGAAACACCAGUGAUGUGCGCAUUCCAUGUUGUUUGUGAGGGAAGUUUGCUGAAGAAAUGAAAUCACAUAGAGAAGAAGCACAAUUUGGAGUGGUUGUGUGUUUGCUAAAAUCGGGUCAUUUAGCUAACUCUGAGAUUCAAUAGAAAGUUGACACUUGGGAAGAAUGUGAGGAAAAAAACAUGGCAUUUUGUAUCACAAACCAUUAGUUAAUAAGCUAUUGUGUUCGUUGAUUUUUUUUUAGUUUGUACGAGAGAUCAAUAAGAAACAUAUGUAACAUUUGAUUUACCUUAAAGGAUCGGAUUAAGUACUUCGGUCGUCCUCUUCUUCUCUACCAAAGAUGAUCGACAUUUGAGAGAGCGUUUGUUGUUUAUUUUUGUUGUUCAGUAUGGCAGUAUACUGAAGUAUAAAAAAUAGUGUAUUUGCCAGAUAAUUUGAUGG
Raphanus sativus (radish) is the source of this 908-nucleotide long non-coding RNA. RefSeq lists it as uncharacterized. NCBI's taxonomy places the organism in Eukaryota, Viridiplantae, Streptophyta, Magnoliopsida, Brassicales, Brassicaceae. The record is from RefSeq and is a predicted model, not a curated record. The transcript has 4 exons.